This 268-nucleotide ribosomal RNA is filed under the name uncultured bacterium. RNAcentral describes it as "partial large subunit ribosomal RNA". It matches the Rfam family "Bacterial small subunit ribosomal RNA", at positions 565 to 831 of the family's 1533-position model. The record is from RNAcentral.
GAGCACGUAGGUGGGUUUGUAAGUCAGACGUGAAAGCCUUCUGUUCAACGGAAGAAUUGCAUCUGAAACUACAAACCUUGAGUGUAGGAGGGGAGAAUGGAGCUUCUGGUGGAGCGGUGAAAUGCGUAGAUAUCAGAAGGAACGCCGGCGGCGAAAGCGAUUCUCUGGCCUAUUACUGACACUCAGUGUGCGAAAGCUAGGGGAGCAAACGGGAUUAGAUACCCCGGUAGUCCUAGCCGUAAACGAUGGGCACUAAGUAGAGGGGUUU